AUACGUAGGGGGCAAGCGUUAUCCGGAAUCACUGGGCGUAAAGGGAGCGUAGGCGGUUUGACAAGCCAGAGGUGAAAGGCAAUAGCUUAACUAUUGUAAGCCUUUGGAACUGUCGAACUUGAGUACAGGAGAGGGCAAUGGAAUUCCAUGUGUAGCGGUAAAAUGCGUAGAUAUAUGGAGGAACACCAGUGGCGAAGGCGGUUGCCUGGCCUGUAACUGACGCUGAAGCACGAAAGCGUGGGGAGC
Molecule: ribosomal RNA, 246 nt
Filed under: uncultured bacterium
Lineage: Bacteria
Description: partial 16S ribosomal RNA
Rfam family: Bacterial small subunit ribosomal RNA
Source: RNAcentral